Molecule: ribosomal RNA, 253 nt
Filed under: uncultured bacterium
Lineage: Bacteria
Description: partial 16S ribosomal RNA
Rfam family: Bacterial small subunit ribosomal RNA
Source: RNAcentral
UACGGGGGGAGCAAGCGUUGUUCGGAUUUACUGGGCGUAAAGGGCUCGUAGGCGGCCAACUAAGUCGGACGUGAAAUCCCUCGGCUUAACCGGGGAACUGCGUCCGAUACUGGAUGGCUUGAGUUUGGGAGAGGGAUGCGGAAUUCCAGGUGUAGCGGUGAAAUGCGUAGAUAUCUGGAGGAACACCGGUGGCGAAGGCGGCAUCCUGGACCAACACUGACGCUGAUGAGCGAAAGCCAGGGGAGCAAACGGG